GACGAACGCUGGCGGCGUGCUUAACACAUGCAAGUCGAACGGAAAGGCCCUGCUUUUGUGGGGUGCUCGAGUGGCGAACGGGUGAGUAACACGUGAGUAACCUGCCCUUGACUUUGGGAUAACUUCAGGAAACUGGGGCUAAUACCGGAUAGGAGCUCCUGCUGCAUGGGGGGGGAAGGAAAGUUUCGGCGGUUGGGGAUGGACUCGCGGCUUAUCAGCUUGUUGGUGGGGUAGUGGCUUACCAAGGCUUUGACGGGUAGCCGGCCUGAGAGGGUGACCGGCCACAUUGGGACUGAGAUACGGCCCAGACUCCUACGGGAGGCAGCAGUGGGGAAUAUUGCACAAUGGGCGGAAGCCUGAUGCAGCAACGCCGCGUGCGGGAUGACGGCCUUCGGGUUGUAAACCGCUUUCGCCUGUGACGAAGCGUGAGUGACGGUAAUGGGUAAAGAAGCACCGGCUAACUACGUG
Molecule: ribosomal RNA, 468 nt
Filed under: uncultured bacterium
Lineage: Bacteria
Description: partial 16S ribosomal RNA
Rfam family: Bacterial small subunit ribosomal RNA
Source: RNAcentral